AAUACAAAAAAAUUAGCCAGACAUGGUGGUGCAUGCCUGUAGUCCCAGCUACUGAGUAGGCUGAAUCACUGGAAGUGGGAGAAUCACUUGAGCCCAGGAGGUGGAGAUUGCAGUUAGCCAUGAUCACACCACUGCACUCUAGCCUGGAUGACAGAGUGAGACCCUGUCUUAAAAAAGAAAAAAAAAAGAUAUUUGCAAGCCACAUAUCCAACACAGAAGUUGUAGCUGAAAAAUACAAAGAACUCUCAAAACUCAAAAUAAAAAAGCAAGCAAUCCAAUUAGAAAAUAGGCAAAAGUUAUGAAGAGACAUUUCACCCAAAGGAAUAUACAGAUAGCAUCAAAUAAGCACACAAAAAGCCAUUCAACAUCAUUAGCUAUUAGGAAACCACACAUUUAAAUUUAAAUGAAAUAUCACUAUGUACUAUCAGAAUGCCUAAAAUAAAAAAUGACAUCACCAAAUGCGGGCAAGGAUGUUACAGCCCAGUGGAUUCUUCUUGCCUGUUGCAAAGAAAAAGCCAAUAUACACUGAGACAGAAGGUGUUGCAACAAAGAAACAGUUUAAUAAUUGCAAGGCAGCUGAGCAAGAAAAUGGGAGAUAUUUCUUAAAUCUGCCUCCAAGAAUUUGGAGGAUAGGGUUUUUAAGGACAGUUUGGUGGGCAGCAGUUAGGAAACGGCUAUUACUGAUUGGUUGAGUCAGGGAUGAAAUCACAGGUGUGUCAAAACUGUCUUCCAGUGCUGAGUCAAUUGCUAGGUGGGUGGGGUCACAGUGUGUCCAGAAUUGGUGAGUUCUUGAUCUCACUGACUUCAAGAAUGAAGCCACAGACCCUUGUGGUGAGUGUUACAGCUCUUAAGGUGGCACAUCUGGAGUGUGUCCCUUCUGAUGUUCAGAUGUGUUCCCAGUUUCUUCCUUCUGGUGGGUUCAUGGUCUUGCUGGCUCAGGAGUGAAGCUGCAAACCUUUGCGGAGUUACAACUCUUAAGACAGCGUGACUGGAGUUGUUCAUUCCUUCCCGUGGGCUCGUGCUCUCACUGGGCUCAGGAGUUAAGCUGCAGAUCCUCACGGUGAGUUUUACCGCUCAUAAAAGCAACAUGGACCCAAACAGUGAGCAGUACCAAGAGCAAAAGAACAAACCUUCCACACCCUAGAAGAGGACCCGAGCAGGUUGCCAAUGCUCGCUGGGGCAGCCUGCUUUUAUUCUCUUAUCUGGCCCCACCCACAUCCUGCUGAUUGGUAGAGCCCAGUGGCCUGUUUUGUCAGGGCACUGAUUGGUGCGUUUACAAUCCCUGAGCUAGAUACAAAGGUUCUCCACGUCCCCAUCAGAUUAGUUAGAUACAGAGUUUGGACACACAGGUUCUCCAAGGCCCCACCAGAGCAGCUAGAUACAGAGUGUCGAUUGGUGCAUUCACAAACCUUGAGCUAAACACAGGGUGCUGAUUGGUGUGUUUACAAACCUUGAGCUAGAUACAGAGUGCCG
RNAcentral lists this long non-coding RNA (1473 nucleotides) under Homo sapiens (human). RNAcentral describes it as "HSALNT0332970". The record is from RNAcentral. Lineage: Eukaryota; Metazoa; Chordata; Mammalia; Primates; Hominidae.